CGGUAAUACGUGGGAUGCAAGCGUUAUCCGGAUUUAUUGGGCGUAAAGAGUUCGUAGGCGUGUUGCCAAGUUUCGUUUGAAAGACUGAGGCUUAACCUCGGGACCGGGCGAAAAACUGGCAGCAUCGAGUUAAUCAGGGGGUACUGGAACUGAUAGUGUAGCAGUGAAAUGCGUUGAUAUUAUCAGGAACACCAAGGGCGAAGGCAGGUACCUGGGAUUACACUGACGCUGAGGAACGAAAGCUAGGGGAGCGAAAGGGAUUAGAGACCCCUGUAGUCCUAGCCGUAAACUAUGUCCGCUUGAUCCUUGGCCGCAAGGUUGGGGGUCGGAGCUAACGCAUGAAGCGGACCGCCUGGGGAGUACGACCGCAAGGUUAAA
This 378-nucleotide ribosomal RNA is filed under the name uncultured bacterium. RNAcentral describes it as "bacterial SSU rRNA". It matches the Rfam family "Bacterial small subunit ribosomal RNA", at positions 518 to 898 of the family's 1533-position model. The record is from RNAcentral.